This 497-nucleotide ribosomal RNA is filed under the name uncultured bacterium. RNAcentral's name for it is "partial 16S ribosomal RNA". It matches the Rfam family "Bacterial small subunit ribosomal RNA", at positions 28 to 507 of the family's 1533-position model. The record is from RNAcentral.
GAUGAACGCUGGCGGCGUGCCUAAUACAUGCAAGUCGAGCGAACAGAUUAGGAGCUUGCUCCUCUGACGUUAGCGGCGGACGGGUGAGUAACACGUGGAUAACCUACCUAUAAAACUGGGAUAACUUCGGGAAACCGGAGCUAAUACCGGAUAAUAUAUUGAACCGCAUGGUUCAAUAGUGAAAGACGGUUUUGCUGUCACUUAUAGAUGGAUCCGCGCCGCAUUAGCUAGUUGGUAAGGUAACGGCUUACCAAGGCAACGAUGCGUAGCCGACCUGAGAGGGUGAUCGGCCACACUGGAACUGAGACACGGUCCAGACUCCUACGGGAGGCAGCAGUAGGGAAUCUUCCGCAAUGGGCGAAGGCCUGACGGAGCAACGCCGCGUGAGUGAUGAAGGUCUUCGGAUCGUAAAACUCUGUUAUUAGGGAAGAACAAAUGUGUAAGUAACUAUGCACGUCUUGACGGUACCUAAUCAGAAAGCCAGGGCUAACUACGUG